GAAAUUACAAAGAUGAUGACAAGAAAAAUCUGAAUCAUAAUCUCAAAAUCAUGGAUUCACAAGUCACAAAGAUGCGUUCUUGAAGCUAAGCAACUUGUUCUUUUAAAGGACUCGACAAUAACUUGGAAGUCAAAAACUCGAUCAUUAAACCCUGAAGGUUCAGAGCCCUAAGGAUCAACCUUUUAAAGGCCCACAAAAACAAAACAAUUAAUUACAAAAUUGCCACCUCGUCCCUUUAUGUGUCCGCACAAUAGUACUGCAUUGUGGAAAUGCGGUCCACAUUUUGGGAUUUUAGGUCGCACUCUUGGUCCUGAGCCUUUCUUCGAUUUGAUCAUGGACUCCUUGUGCGACCACACUUUGGGUCUCCACUUCGCUUCUCUUUGCUUUUGCUCCUUUUCGCUAUCUUUUACUACUUUUUGUGGUCUCUUGGGCUCAUUUCCUUAAAUCAAACAAAACAUCAUUAAAUAAUUUUGUUUAUGAAAAGGGGCAAAUGAGUCGUAAGUUCAUCUGAUAGACAUGUUCAUUUUCAUAAACAUGUCUGUUUCUAUCUUUGAUAGACAUGUAGAUAUUGAAAAGGGGCCACAUUCUUCUGAUGGUUUUCACACACUUAAACCAAAAGUUCCAGCAACUUCCUCAGUUGUCCAGUGAUUUAGAAGCCCAUACUCCUGUGAGAUGGAUCUUCUGCAUAGGGCCAUUUCUUCAUUUCAAAAUCUCCCUAACCACUUCCGCAAUGAGUAUUUUGUAGAUUAAACUUCUUUAUGCCCAAACCUCCUUGGCUUUUGAACACAUCCCACUUUACCAGAUUGUAACUUAGCACUCAGAAUUCUCUUCUUCAAAAUUUCAAAGGACAGCAAUUUCAGGUGCCCGUCUCACCUAUUCAAAUAAAGAUUGUGAUUGUUAAUACAUUCCCUGGAGGGGAAGAGAACAAAUCAAGCUCCAAAUAAUGUAGCAAGAAGUUGUGGAGUUAUUCAGAUCUCAAAAAGGCAAAGAGCUUGGAGGGAGGCUAAUAGGUUGAAGACAUUGCAGAGAGCUGGUGCUCGGACUACUCAUAUCAAGUCUACUCGAUUGUUUUUACACAUAUAGCCUGAACGAAGUUUCCAAGUUGUUAUAUCCUUUUUCCAUUGUUCAUGAGAGGAAUUUCUUCUGAAUGUAUAAAAUUGUGCCUUCAUCUUGAACGAUGACUUAUAGAGAUGCUAAUUUUUUUUUUAGCUCUUUCGCCCAAA
This is a long non-coding RNA of Capsicum annuum, 1223 nucleotides long. RefSeq lists it as uncharacterized. NCBI's taxonomy places the organism in Eukaryota, Viridiplantae, Streptophyta, Magnoliopsida, Solanales, Solanaceae. The record is from RefSeq and is a predicted model, not a curated record. The transcript has 2 exons.